UUUAUGGAGAGUUUGAUCCUGGCUCAGGAUGAACGCUGGCGGCGUGCCUAAUACAUGCAAGUCGAGCGAACGGACGAGAAGCUUGCUUCUCUGAUGUUAGCGGCGGACGGGUGAGUAACACGUGGAUAACCUACCUAUAAGACUGGGAUAACUUCGGGAAACCGGAGCUAAUACCGGAUAAUAUUUUGAACCGCAUGGUUCAAAAGUGAAAGACGGUCUUGCUGUCACUUAUAGAUGGAUCCGCGCUGCAUUAGCUAGUUGGUAAGGUAACGGCUUACCAAGGCAACGAUGCAUAGCCGACCUGAGAGGGUGAUCGGCCACACUGGAACUGAGACACGGUCCAGACUCCUACGGGAGGCAGCAGUAGGGAAUCUUCCGCAAUGGGCGAAAGCCUGACGGAGCAACGCCGCGUGAGUGAUGAAGGUCUUCGGAUCGUAAAACUCUGUUAUUAGGGAAGAACAUAUGUGUAAGUAACUGUGCACAUCUUGACGGUACCUAAUCAGAAAGCCACGGCUAACUACGUGCCAGCAGCCGCGGUAAUACGUAGGUGGCAAGCGUUAUCCGGAAUUAUUGGGCGUAAAGCGCGCGUAGGCGGUUUUUUAAGUCUGAUGU
This 612-nucleotide ribosomal RNA is filed under the name Staphylococcus aureus. RNAcentral describes it as "bacterial SSU rRNA". It matches the Rfam family "Bacterial small subunit ribosomal RNA", at positions 1 to 595 of the family's 1533-position model. Lineage: Bacteria; Bacillati; Bacillota; Bacilli; Caryophanales; Staphylococcaceae. The record is from RNAcentral.